RNAcentral lists this ribosomal RNA (1280 nucleotides) under uncultured bacterium adhufec108. Its description in RNAcentral is "bacterial SSU rRNA". It matches the Rfam family "Bacterial small subunit ribosomal RNA", at positions 49 to 1356 of the family's 1533-position model. The record is from RNAcentral.
UAACACAUGCAGGUCGAACGGAAUUAGAGCUUCGGUUUUAACUUUAGUGGCGAACGGGUGAGUAACGCGUGAGGAACCUGCCUUUCAGUGGGGGACAACAGUUGGAAACGACUGCUAAUACCGCAUGACACUUUUGGGAGACAUCUCCUGGAAGUCAAAGCUUUAUGUGCUGAAAGAUGGCCUCGCGUCUGAUUAGCUGGUUGGUGAGGUAACGGCUCACCAAGGCGACGAUCAGUAGCCGGUCUGAGAGGAUGAACGGCCACAUUGGGACUGAGAUACGGCCCAGACUCCUACGGGAGGCAGCAGUGGGGAAUAUUGGGCAAUGGGGGAAACCCUGACCCAGCAACGCCGCGUGAAGGAAGAAGGCCUUCGGGUUGUAAACUUCUUUUACCAGGGACGAAGGACGUGACGGUACCUGGAGAAAAAGCAACGGCUAACUACGUGCCAGCAGCCGCGGUAAUACGUAGGUUGCAAGCGUUGUCCGGAUUUACUGGGUGUAAAGGGCGUGUAGGCGGAGAUGCAAGUUGGGAGUGAAAUCCAUGGGCUCAACCCAUGAACUGCUCUCAAAACUGUAUCCCUUGAGUAUCGGAGAGGCAAGCGGAAUUCCUAGUGUAGCGGUGAAAUGCGUAGAUAUUAGGAGGAACACCAGUGGCGAAGGCGGCUUGCUGGACGACAACUGACGCUGAGGCGCGAAAGCGUGGGGAGCAAACAGGAUUAGAUACCCUGGUAGUCCACGCUGUAAACGAUGAAUACUAGGUGUGGGAGGACUGACCCCUUCCGUGCCGCAGUUAACACAAUAAGUAUUCCACCUGGGGAUACGACCGCAAGGUUGAAAUCAAAGGNAUUGACGGGCCCGCACAAGCAGUGGAGUAUGUGGUUUAUUCGACGCAACGCGAGAACCUUACCAGGAUUGACAUUCCAACUAACGAAGUAGAGAUACAUCAGUACCCUUCGGGGAAGUUGAGACAGGUGGUGCAUGUUGUCGUCAGCUCGUGUCGUGAGAUGUUGGGUUAAGUCCCGCAACGAGCGCAACCCUUAUUGUUAGUUGCUACGAAAGAGCAUUCUAGCGAGACUGCCGUUGACAAAACGGAGGAAGGCGGGGACGACGUCAAAUCAUCAUGCCCCUUAUGUCCUGGGCUACACACGUAAUACAAUGGCGGUCAACAGAGGGAAGCAAAGCCGCGAGGUGGAGCAAAUCCCUAAAAGCCGUCUCAGUUCGGAUUGCAGGCUGCAACUCGCCUGCAUGUAGCUGGAAUGGCUAGUAAUCGCGGAUUUGCAAA